GACAGAGGGUGCAAACGUUGUUCGGAAUUACUGGGCGUAAAGCGCGUGUAGGCGGCCCGUUAAGUCAGAUGUGAAAUCCCUGAGCUCAACUCAGGAACUGCAUUUGAAACUGCCGGUCUAGAGUGGUGGAGAGGGAAGCGGAAUUCCUGGUGUAGAGGUGAAAUUCGUAGAUAUCAGGAGGAACACCGGUGGCGAAGGCGACUUCCUGGACAGCAACUGACGCUGAGACGCGAAAGCGUGGGGAGCAAACAGG
This 253-nucleotide ribosomal RNA is filed under the name uncultured bacterium. Its description in RNAcentral is "partial 16S ribosomal RNA". It matches the Rfam family "Bacterial small subunit ribosomal RNA", at positions 524 to 776 of the family's 1533-position model. The record is from RNAcentral.